Non-coding RNA from Misgurnus anguillicaudatus (oriental weatherfish), 1874 nucleotides. Lineage: Eukaryota; Metazoa; Chordata; Actinopteri; Cypriniformes; Cobitidae. The record is from RefSeq and is a predicted model, not a curated record.
AUAAACGCACGCGAGCUGACAAAGUAAGUUAACGCGCUUUCAGAAAUGUUCACUUGAAUCACAGCAGGAAGAAAAUCCAUCGACGAUUGGCGUCUGAUUCGCUCUAAAAAGUAAUGUUUGUUCAGAUAUCCUGAGUAGCUGUUAUUCAACAUAAACACAUUUCCGCACACAUGAAGAUGGAUGACGAUAGUUCAUCUUAAAAUGAAACUUAUGUUUAUCAGCUUACCCCCAGGCCAUCCAAGAGAUGCUCUUAAGAACAACGCCCUGAUGUCCAAGGUCAACCAGCAAGAAGCUGAGAAGGCACUGCCAAAAUGGUUUACUGGGGCAAGGGACAGAGGAGGACAGAGAGCAUCAAGAAUGCAGAAAAGGAUGUCUGUUUGAGAAAGGUUAAAACUACAGUUGUUGAUUUGAACUGUUGUAGUUCUUUAAUUUUUCUUAAAGGAAAACACAAUCAUUUUUCAAUAUUUACCAUGUUCUUCCCUCAACUUAGAUGAAUUAAUACAAACCUCUCUUUUCUCAAUGUGUGCACUUAAAGGUGGGGUGCACAAUUUCUAAAAAAACGUUUUGGAAAAGGGAGACAGGCCGACUAUCAAAACACACUUGUAGCCAAUUAGCAGCAUGUCUACUAAAUGACAUCGUUGCCUGGGUUGCGUUUGUGUGGGGCGGGUCUAUCAAAAGAAGGUCCAGAUUCUAUUAGGGUAAGGGUGUGUUUGUUUAGAUGAUUUCAAAUAUCAACAUUGGCUUUCAUGCACCCUGCCUUUAUUUGUUGUAAAGUGUGGCGUGAAUGUGUUAGCAUUUAGCCAAGCACCAUUCAUUCAUUAGGAUCCAAACAGGGAUGAAUUUAAUAGCCACCAAACACUUCCAUGUUUUCCCUAUUCAAAGACUGUUACAUGAGUAGUUACACGAGGAAGUAUGGUAAAAAAUAUAACUAUAUUGUAUGGCGGAAGAGCACUUAGUUUGUAGCACUCGACCUUGGGCACAGUAACAUCAUCACUCCUGACUACUCCCCCUCUUGCUUAAACUACAGUCAACAUAACCAACACGCCUGUACUAAUGUUAGUACAUCGAGCAGACUCUGCGAAAUAUCAAGUUAAGUUUAAGUGUACGCAUUGAGAAAAGAGAGAUAUGUAUUUAUUCGGCUAAGUUGAUGGAAGAACAUAGUAAAAUAUUGAAAAACUGUGUUUGUAAUUAUCUUACUUUCAUUUACUUUUAAGGGCCCCAUUUCAAUAAUUUUUUAAAGGGGCCAUGGCAUGAAAAUCUGACUUUUUCCAUGUUUAAGUACUACAAUUGGGUCCCCAGUGCUUCUAUCAACCUAGAAAAUGUGAAAAAGAUCAACCCAGUAACUUCCAUUCUCUGCAAGCAUGUGAAAAAAUAGGUAGUUGAAAUUUGGCUCUCCUUAUGAUGUCAGAAGGAGCUCUUAUUAUAAUAAUACCACACCUUAAUCUGCACUAUCCAACCACAGCACUGCCAUUUAGUGCAGAGAGGGAGAGACAGAGAAAAAAAUUCACAGCACAAUUAAGUUUCAAUUUCAACAAACCACCAUCAUUGUUAUCAGUGUUUGAAUUUCAUCAGCUCAUUUGCAUUUUAAAGUAGGGAUGCACCGAAAUGAAAAUUCUUGGCCAAAACUGAAAACCGAAAAAAGGAAACCAAGGCCGAAAAACCGAAACACCGAAAGAAAUUAUUAUGCCAAUUAUAAGUACAAUUGCAUUUAUGGCUAUCACUGUGUACUAACUUUACUAGGGGUGUGUGAUGGAUAAAAAAAAACUCACAGUUCGGAUCACAUUACAGUUUUUGAGGCACAGAUCAGAUUAUUUUUCAGAUCAGCAAAAAGCAGGUGGGAAAAAAUCUAAUAAACAAUAAAGAAAUUGCAAACA